This is a small nuclear RNA of Nomascus leucogenys (northern white-cheeked gibbon), 99 nucleotides long. The record is from Ensembl. Lineage: Eukaryota; Metazoa; Chordata; Mammalia; Primates; Hylobatidae.
GUGCUUGCUUCAGCAGCACAUAUUAAAAAUUAAACAGAGAAGAUUAGCAUGGCCCCUGCACAAGGAUGACACGCAAUUUGUGAAGCGCUCUUUUUUUUU